GUGCGGAAAGGCCCUUCGGGGUGCUCGAGCGGCGAACGGGUGAGUAACACGUGAGCAACCUGCCCCUGGCUCUGGGAUAGCUCCGGGAGACCGGGAUUAAUACCGGAUGUGACUCGUGGGUGCAUGCCUGCGGGUGGAAAGGUUUUCCGGCUGGGGAUGGGCUCGCGGCCUAUCAGCUUGUUGGCAGGGUGAUGGCCUACCAAGGCGACGACGGGUAGCCGGCCUGAGAGGGCGACCGGCCACACUGGGACUGAGACACGGCCCAGACUCCUACGGGAGGCAGCAGUGGGGAAUAUUGCGCAAUGGGCGGAAGCCUGACGCAGCGACGCCGCGUGGGGGAUGAAGGCCUUACGGGUUGUAAACCUCUUUCAGCAGGGGCGAAGCGAGAGUGACGGUACCUGCAGAAGAAGCGCCGGCUAACUACGUGCCAGCAGCCGCGGUAAU
This 444-nucleotide ribosomal RNA is filed under the name uncultured bacterium. RNAcentral describes it as "bacterial SSU rRNA". It matches the Rfam family "Bacterial small subunit ribosomal RNA", at positions 64 to 524 of the family's 1533-position model. The record is from RNAcentral.